RNAcentral lists this ribosomal RNA (306 nucleotides) under Salmonella enterica subsp. enterica serovar Infantis. RNAcentral's name for it is "partial 23S ribosomal RNA". It matches the Rfam family "Bacterial large subunit ribosomal RNA", at positions 482 to 788 of the family's 2925-position model. RNAcentral also lists the same sequence under 6 other names. Lineage: Bacteria; Pseudomonadati; Pseudomonadota; Gammaproteobacteria; Enterobacterales; Enterobacteriaceae. The record is from RNAcentral.
GACCGAUAGUGAACCAGUACCGUGAGGGAAAGGCGAAAAGAACCCCGGCGAGGGGAGUGAAAAAGAACCUGAAACCGUGUACGUACAAGCAGUGGGAGCACAGGUUUACCUGUGUGACUGCGUACCUUUUGUAUAAUGGGUCAGCGACUUAUAUUCUGUAGCAAGGUUAACCGAAUAGGGGAGCCGGAGGGAAACCGAGUCUUAAUUGGGCGUUAAGUUGCAGGGUAUAGACCCGAAACCCGGUGAUCUAGCCAUGGGCAGGUUGAAGGUUGGGUAACACUAACUGGAGGACCGAACCGACUAAUG